GGUCAAAUCAUCAUGCCCCUUAUGUCCUGGGCUACACACGUGCUACAAUGGCCGGUACAAAGGGAAGCGAGGCGGCGACGCCGAGCGGAUCCCGGAAAACCGGUCUCAGUUCGGAUUGCAGGCUGCAACUCGCCUGCAUGAAGUCGGAAUCGCUAGUAAUCGCAGGUCAGCAUACUGCGGUGAAUACGUUCCCGGGCCUU
RNAcentral lists this ribosomal RNA (200 nucleotides) under uncultured organism. RNAcentral describes it as "partial small subunit ribosomal RNA". It matches the Rfam family "Bacterial small subunit ribosomal RNA", at positions 1183 to 1382 of the family's 1533-position model. The record is from RNAcentral.